GUGAGAAUGGCUUGGUGGGCUCCCAGUAGCCAGCCAAGGUCAGCCCACCAUUGUAUGAUCUGAUGGAUAAAGAGUUUACAAUGAAACUUGGGAUAUAUCUGCAUCUCCAAGUGAUGUUGGAUAAGUCACCUAUAUCCUGUGCUUCUGUCUUGUCUUUAGAUUUUAUUUAUUUGUGUUCAGUUCUAAAAAUCUGUCAUCUUCCCCUUUGAGUAUAGGACUAUGAUCAUAUAUUUGUGGAGCACUUAUCCCCACACAGUGGGGAACAUGAAGCCCAGGAGCUCAUCAUUAUAACAAAAUGAACUUGUGGCUCAGUUGUUGUUGCUGUUUUUCAGGAACCUCUUCAACGUAUUCAGAUAAUAAGUUGCAUGACUGACAAACUGUGCAAGUUUCUCACUUUCUCCAGCCUUCUUUCGUGAAGGGCUCUGCAGCCAUUCAGGACAUGACAUAACAGAAUAUCUGGUGCAUGGUGUUCUCUCACUGCCACGUGAAGAGUUAUAUGCACUGAAUGUGAUUCCAAUCUUUUUCUCCCAUGUUUGUUGGACCACUGAAUCACGGUAAAUGAAGGCACAUGGCCAACCAUAUGGUAACAAUAUCAUCAGUGCUGCAGCAGAGGAAGAUCAAGAGUCGCAUAUACAUAAGCCAUGUUAACAGGUGAACAGGAAAGAUGGCCAAAAGGAAUAAAUGGAAUUUAUCCUACCAGAACUGGGUGGGAUUGCAGCACUUUGAAACACCUUUUUUGAUGAAGUGGAAGCACUGGAGCUUUCAUGAGAAAUGGGAGAGCAUUGUUUGAAACUGUACUAACUUCAGUAAAGAAGGAGUAGGUCAAUUCCUUUUAAAUAUUUGCCGAGUCUGUUUUAGAUAGAUACUAAACUAAGAUAUAGGCUGAGUGUUCAAACUCAAGUAAACAAAGAGACUCAUACAUUUACAUUCACAAACUGAGACUUCUAUUCAAAUAACAGUAUUUUUCACUUUCCCAUGCCAUUAUAACUGUCAUUUACAACUUCAUUAUGUACAAAUCUGUUCAUCAGAAUAUAUUUUAAUGGCAAUGAUGUCUCAGACUACCUGAUAAUAUGUGGGUGCAUAUUCAUAAAGGUUGGUAUCUUAUGUUAAAUUAGGAGAAUUUACCUUUUCCAGAAAUUUUAUUUUUUUGUCCUGGAAUUCUUGAGAGAUUUAUAUGAAAAGAGUCUUUUGAAAUUGGAUUACAAUGAAGUCUUAGUUUAAAUGAAGAUCUAUAAAUAUUCUGUGGUGUUCUUAAAGGCCAUAUUCAGGCUGCACAGUUCUGUGUUACCUGAGCUAUUACCAAAUACAGAGCUGGAUAGCAGAGUCACAUGAAGCUACUGGGCAAAAAGUUCCCGGAGUCUGGGUUAGUUUCUUUAGAGCUUCAGGUCACUCCACAGGGUGAUCUAGCAUGCUAUUUGCUUUAAAUAUUUCCUUGUGUGGAAUAUCCUCCUCUCUUUGUUGGUGAGAAAUUUUAUGUCAUAUCAAGAUUUGCAGACUCAUGUAUACUCAGACUUCUUGAGAUUGAAUGAUAUCUCUUUUCUGACUGUUUUUUUAAAUCCAGGCAAAAUUUCCACCAUACUGUGUUCCCAGUAGAGCUCAAUGAAACUAUCAUAGCAAAAAUAAAAGUCUAUAGGAAUGACUUUUGGCUAGUUUAGGGUAAUCCAUUUAAUUCCAUGCUCAUCCACAUAAAGUACCAUAGUUUCACCAAAAUGUUGUCACAGAAUUUUAGACAGCAAAUAAAUAUCAGAUACAAUCUUAUGAUUGAAAAAAGAUUUGAUGCAAGUUUAAAAUUGUACUGGAUAUACAUGUAUGAGUCUCAAAUACAAACUUCCACUCAGUCUGCACCUGUUUCUGUGGGUAAAGCACUGGUACUAAACCACUAUUUCUAUGUGAUUUGAAAGAAAUAGGAAAUUUUUCUGGAGCAACUCUGAUUUAAGAAAUUAGUUUUCAGUUUAUAGGAUGGGGAUGCAAUCAGCUGCAAUUUAAUGUGCUAAUUUGGCAAGGCAGCCAAGCCACCGUAAGUGGCUGCACAUGUGUUCUUAGCUCACCUAGACAUAAGCUAAAAUGUGCUGGUUUAAGCUAACACAUUUAUUUUGUUGUUAGGACAGGUGGGUAGACAUAUGGGGCAGCUGAAGAAUGUUACUUGUUAAAUUAAUGUCAGUUUUAAUGGUUCCAAUGUUAUGUGUUAGCUUCGAGAAGAGAUUUGAUACCAAGGUUGAAGAGAGACGUUGUCUUUGAACCUGACACUGAGGCAUAAAAGUUAUACUACACAUGAAGGUAAGAAGGCUUCCUAGAUAUGAGAGGGACUGAGAAAUGAAAAAGAAAAGCAGCAGAGAAAGAUUAAUAUAACAGGCAUGGAAGUUAUGAUCUUCCUCUCCAAAUAUAUUUUGCUCCCUUAUCAGAAAUGGCCAAUAAGUAGAUCUUUCCUUUUUUACCCUCCCAAAUUAAGAGCAUGUUUCAUGCAGCUUUUUUUUCUUUUGCUUCCACAGUGAGUCUUGAUAGUUUGAAAAGAAUUUCAUUCAUAGAGCUUUUUGCUUCCCCAGAUGACCCUGGGUUUAUGUGAAAAUGUCACUGAUGGAGCUUCUCAGGAAUAUACCUUCUGAAUUCAGCCCCAUAUAUAUAUUAUUUCAAGGAAAAUUGAUGUAGCAGCCUGUUGUAACAGAUUGGUUCAUGAAACACAAUGAAACCACAUUUUUCAAAAGUUUCUGUGGUAAGCCUACUGUGUCGUGCUGUAUACAGUAUGAGCCAUCUCUCAACUUCACUGAGACAAAGACACGGUAUCCCACACCAGAGUGGACAGUGCAACCUCUUUCUGGGCUGGUUUCAACAGGCUGAAGCUCAAGUUACUUCUCUGUUCUGAAAAAAGAGUAUAUUGAAGUUUUAACCUCAUGGUCUGCAGUCACCAGACCCCGUGCCAGUGUCAAACACUGCGCAGAUAGACAGCAACACGUGUGGGCUUCCACUGCUGUGACCUCCUGUAAAGUGUGAAGUACACUCUGAAGUUUUCAACCUCCUAAAGAGCUCAUCUGCUAUUUAAAAUAAAAAAUAUUCCUUGUUUGACUUCUCUCCUGCCACAUGAGGGGCUAGGUGAUUUUCAGGGACAGCAGCAGCAAUAAAUACAUGGGAUUUUCCUGGUCUGUGCAGGUGUGAGGCACCUUCGCUUUAUAGCAGCAGUUGGCAAUUACCAGGAAAAGAGGGCACUUGAGCAGCAGCUGCUUUCCCCUCUCCCAUUCCCAGAAAGUGCUGCAAACAGAUGAGAGUGGAGUACCCCUCUUCAGCCCCAAAAGUUGUGUCAUUCCUCAAUUAUCCAAAAUCCACGUCUGAUAACUACACUGUGCACGGCAUAGCUCAGUGUCGAGCUGCAUGGGUUGGUGAAGGAAGAAGGAGGACUGCAAUUCAGACUCCCUCUUGAACAAGCCAUUCUGUCUUUCCAAGCUGGAAUGGUUUCAGGAUGAGGUUUGCAAACUCUGGAAACUCCUCAGUUUCAGGAGGAUCCUGUCAACUCUUAUUAGAAAGUAACAGUCAACUUUUGAAAUUACUUCUAUUUGUUUAAACAAUCUCUAGUUUGCUGAAACUGGUGAGGUAAAUCCUUGUCCUUCUGGGGAGAAAAAAGCACAAAUCCAGUGCUUUAUUUAUUUUCAAAGUGUUUUGUAGAUACUAAAGCACCUUCAAAACCUGCUUUUAGAGAGUAGGUAAGUGAUGCUACUUUCACAAAUGUAGGGGAAAAACAGAGGCUGAGCAGUAUAUCCUUGGAAUGUGCUAUUCAAGAGCUAAAGGAACUUCAUGAUACUCCAGCCCUAGCCAUAAGUAAUAUGAACAAACUGCUGUCAACUCACUAAUGUGUGAAAUAUAGUAGGCUAAAUUUUAUGCGUUUGGGUUGACUGAUUUAAAAGCAGUAGUUGGGAGAACAGUUUAAUAUUAGCUCUACUGUAUAGGAUUUAAUUUGUAUUCUGCAGGCUACCCUAGGUAGUCAUUGGCUAAAGUACAUAACUAUGAAAUGAACCUUUUACACACUAAAUUCUUGUCAUGCUGGCUCAUGUAGGAGUCAUCGUUUGCUGCUGUUACAAAAAAACUGGGCGUAAGAAAGUGAUGGAUCAAGGAGGGGAUUUUCCCUUCCCUCCCUAGAAGGCUGCUCUGGAUUCUGUGGGAGCCUUCCUCUCUGCUUACAGAUCAUAGCCACUCAGUGCUGCCAGGAAACCACAGAAAGGCAGCAGAGUCAUGCAAAACUUUUUAAUGCAAUCAUAGUGUCUAUCCUUUAAUGACCCAGUGAAGUAGAAAUCGUUCCAAACCACCGGAACUGCUUUUGUAUUGCACAUCGGGAGGCUCCCAGCUUCUGAUCCUCAGAGAAUCCCCACAUAACUGUAAGAGAUAAUCCUACGUACGUGGCACAGACUUCUCAUAAUUGUCCUAUGCAGAUAAGUUCUUGGAGAUAAUGUUCUUUUUCUUGUCUCUUGCACUUCCCCCCCCAAUUUAAACUGAAAAAGAGGCCAGAAAUCAAGCUUUCUUCCCUCUGUUUUAAAAAAUAUUUUUCUUUUAUUUCAUGUUUUUUCAAAGAAUUUCAAAUAUCUCUUCCUAGAAAAUAACUUGGCAUCACCUUGUGUAAAAUAAGUUCCCCUAUAGCUAUAUUGCAUGAUAAAGGAAAAUUAAUAUGGUAAAUCCUGCUUUGACAAGUACAGGAACUGUAACAGUAAAGUCACUUCCAAAGUGCUACACAGAAAGAAGUUGAUCAUAUGGGCAGAGUUGCAAAACCCUUAAUAAUUUUCAGAAGACUGGAACAUCAAGCUCUUUAUGCACAUUAUCUGUUGUGCAUCAUGGAAAAUGUCAGUAAAUGAAAUAUCUACAGCUGAUGGAAAUAUAGCCUUGGAAUUUGUGUCUUCCUGCUCAGCCAGGCAGUUUGCUGAUAAAGGUGAUGUGCUGUCAUGCAUCAUGGUCCUUGGUAAAUUUGUGCCCUGAUUGCCUGGCUCACACUAUUUUCUCUCCUAGCCCGGGAAGGGGUGAGUGUUGAUUGGAUACCUCCCACCACCACAGAACAGCAGAGCUUCCCAUCCCACAUUUUGUACAGGAACUACAGGAGUGAGGAAUCAGCUUCAGGAAUUGCAGUGACAUGGUCACUAUUGGUUUUGUGUUUAGUCUUGCAUUACAUUGCAGCACAAAGUACUGGACUUCAGAUAUCAAAAACUGCCUUGACUCAUGUUUCACACUGGCUGCAGGCAACACAGUGAUGCAUCUCACUUUCUACCUGACCUAUGGAUGUGUAAGUUACAUGAAGACUGACUCAGUCAAGAAAGCAUGUGUGGAAUCUACAGCCCCCCCAUGGGCUCAAAAAUACAUUCAAGCCACCGGUGAGGGAUAUCUUUAGAGGAAGGAGGGUAGAGAUGGCUUUUGGCACAAACUCAAAACCUAUAAUUUCAGCUAACAUUUGGCUUACUGGAUUUCAUGGUAUGGCUAUAUUAAGCUUCUCUUUAAUGCUUUUUAACUUCUUAUUUGUAACUUUCAGGGCCUUUCAUGGAAGAUCAUGUGUUCCUCACCUUUUGCAGCAGUAUCAUUUGGGGGUUGUACCAAGGCCAGGAAAACCUGGUUUCCAGCCAAGUCAACUUCUUGAGGCCUGAACAAAAGUCUGUUUUAAUAAAAUGACAUAAAUCAUGUCAGUCAUUCUCUUGCCUGCUUCGGGAUUAAUUUUCUUGCACUUAUGAAAUGCGCUUAUGCAGCUUCCAUCAGUCUUGGUUGCUCCUUGUAGCAGAGAGGUUUGGCUGGUGGGUUGCCUGCUGCCCUCAGUGCAGUCUCUAUGCUGUUGGCUAUUUCAGUCUCAAUUUCCUAUUUGGUGGCAGAUCAAAUAGUCUCCAUGAAAGGCAGAAGGAAUGACAGAGACUUGCUUUCUUCAAGUAGAAAACAAUGUCCCAUAUGUGACCUCAGCAAAACCACUCCAUGUGGCACUUUACUAGUUAUGCCUUAAAGAACUGGAUUGUGUCCAGGCCCUGGUGUGGUGCUAAUUACCACAGCUUUUGGCUAAGAAUGAACUAUAAAUCUUUAAACACCAACAAGUCUGAUUAGGUUUGAUUUUCUUUGGCACUGUUGUGGUACCUCCAAACAGAAAAAUGUUUUUGCAGAACAGAUUCAGUAUAUGUGAUAUUUCCUUGCAUGCAACACUUAUCACACUCAGGUUUAUUGAUGCAGGAAGUUAGUUUCCCAGUCCUAUUCUUUAAAAAAUUGAGGUAAGGCCAGAUCUUCAAGUGAUAGAUAUCAGCAUAACACUGUUGUCCUCAGUCCUGUUUUCAGUAGUUCAGGAUAUAGGUCCUGGAUUUCAAUCCUGUAGUCUAGUGGUAGAAAGGGUCUAUCAGGUCAUGUUGUCUAUGUCCUUAUCUGUGAAAAAUUGUUCCCUUGUGUACAGAAAUAGGAAGCAGCCCAACAAUGUUUUUAAACAUUUCAUUUCCACAAAUAGUGUCUUUAACACUUUCCCUUGGGAGUCUGCUCCAUUCAGAUGGAUAUUUUCCUGGCCUUAAGCUCUACAGUUUUCAUUUCAUAUUCAGAUCCACAAUUUCUGUACCCAGGUAAUAAUUUUACCUUUGAAAAUUUGCAUUCUUCAAAUAUCUGUGGACCAUUGUCAUGCUCCAGCUUUUUGAUUUUGGACAACCUGAAAACACUUAACUCUUAGCUGUUAAAGAAAAUAAUUCGCUUUAAAAUUGUAAUUGUUCUUAAAUGUCUUUUUCUAAACUGCCUUCUGUUUGUAAGGAAUCACCUGCUGUCCAGCAAUGAAUGCAACAUCCAGGUACAGAUCACCAGGAUCGAGCAGAGAUAGACUUUGUCUGGGGUGAGGGGGAGAGGUGAUGCAGCCUCCACGUACAUGGAGAUGCUUAACUGAGCAGUGGGGUGCUGAGUAAGUUUUGACAUGGUAGCACUCAGCGGUCCUGUUUGCCUUCCAGAACAGAGCAGGGGAAGCAUAUUUCAGCUCUUAAAGUAUUCAGUUUAAAGUAAACCCCUAAAUCCUACUCAAGAUUGCAGCCCUGCAGAGGUCAAUUGAAAUUAUCUUGCCUGGGGAAGUGACCAGGGCAUUAUUCUGUAUCUGGGACUUUCAGUAAUUUCUAAGUGUUUUCCAGUGAAGAUGAUUACUCAAGUGUAGUGAAAGUAUGGCAGCAACAAACAAGUUUAUACCAAUAGUUACAUUUCACAGACUUGACAGUAUUAGUCUAGGGUCUCUCAGACACACCAGGAAUACAAGCAGAAAACCAAUGUGGUCUAUAAUAUUGUGCUGCUUUCUCUUAGAGUAAUAUUUGGAGCUGUUUCCUUUGGGACAUACCACAAAAAGCAAUGUACCUGCCAUGCAGAUUGAUGGAAACUGCACACACUCUUUGACCAUGCAUCUGAGAGUGGGAAGCACCUUCAGAAGAACAUGCAAGGUAGUAGGGAACACUUGCAACAAAAAAUACUGGUUAAUAUCCUUAAAACUGCAUAGCAUGAAGAGAAAUGGCUGCAGAACUGGGUGAAGCUUUAAAUUACCUUGCUCAGAAAGCUCUGAGUUACCUUCCUGUUGGAGGUGAGUAACCUUGUGAUGCCACAGCAUUACCAGUGUCAAAA
Molecule: long non-coding RNA, 7572 nt
Organism: Corvus hawaiiensis (hawaiian crow)
Lineage: Eukaryota; Metazoa; Chordata; Aves; Passeriformes; Corvidae
Exons: 3
Source: RefSeq, a predicted model, not a curated record